CAUCGCUGCCCACCUUGGGCGCCUCCCUAGACUUGGGCCGCUUGUGGCAACACAGGCGGCCUUCUUUUGUCUACG
RNAcentral lists this small RNA (75 nucleotides) under Bradyrhizobium sp. CIR48. Its description in RNAcentral is "suhB". It matches the Rfam family "Makes More Granules Regulator RNA (mmgR)". Rfam says of the family: SuhB later renamed mmgR (makes more granules regulator) was a putative non-coding RNA found multiple times in the Agrobacterium tumefaciens genome and related alpha-proteobacteria. Other non-coding RNAs uncovered in the same analysis include: speF, ybhL, metA, and serC. The record is from RNAcentral. Lineage: Bacteria; Pseudomonadati; Pseudomonadota; Alphaproteobacteria; Hyphomicrobiales; Nitrobacteraceae.